GACGUAGGGCGCGAGCGUUGUCCGGAUUUAUUGGGCGUAAAGAGCUCGUAGGCGGCUUGUCGCGUCGACCGUGAAAACUCGCAGCUCAACUGCGAGCCUGCGGUCGAUACGGGCAGGCUAGAGUUCGGUAGGGGAGACUGGAAUUCCUGGUGUAGCGGUGAAAUGCGCAGAUAUCAGGAGGAACACCGAUGGCGAAGGCAGCUCUCUGGGACGGUACUGACGCUGAGACGCGAAAGCGUGGGGAGCAAACAGG
Molecule: ribosomal RNA, 253 nt
Filed under: uncultured bacterium
Lineage: Bacteria
Description: partial 16S ribosomal RNA
Rfam family: Bacterial small subunit ribosomal RNA
Source: RNAcentral